RNAcentral lists this ribosomal RNA (1370 nucleotides) under uncultured bacterium. RNAcentral describes it as "16S ribosomal RNA". It matches the Rfam family "Bacterial small subunit ribosomal RNA". The record is from RNAcentral.
UUAGAGUUUGAUCCUGGCUCAGGACGAACGCUGGCGGCGUGCCUAACACAUGCAAGUCGAACGGACAAGGCCCUUCGGGGCCGAGUUAGUGGCAAACGGGUGAGUAACACGUGAACAACCUGCCUCUUUGAGGGGGAUAACACCUGCAAACGAAUGCUAAUACCGCAUAAGACCACCUUACCUCAUGGCAAAGGGGUCAACGGAGAAAUCAGCAGAGAGAGGGGUUCGCGUCCCAUUAGCUAGUUGGCGGGGCAACGGCCCCCCAAGGCGAUGAUGGGUAACCAAGCUGAGAGGAUGAUCGCCCACAUUGGAACUGAGACACAGUCCAAACUUCUUCGGGAGGCAGCAGAAGGGAAUAUUGGGCAAUGGGCGAAAGCCUGACCCACCCUCACCGCGUGAGGGUAGAAGGCCUUCGGGUUGUAAACCUCUGUCCUUAGUGUUGAAGAAGUGACGGUAGCUAAAGAGGAAGCCCGGGUUAACUACAUGCCACCAGCCGCGAUAAUAGGUAGUGGGCGAGCGUUGUCCGGAAUUACUGGGCGUAAAGGGUGGCUAGGCGGUACUUUAAUUUGGAUGUGAAAUCCCGCGGGUUUAACAUGGUUCCUGCAUCCAAUACUGGAGAACUAGAGUGCAGGAGAGGGAAGCGGAAUUCUUAGUGUAGCGGUGAAAUGUGUAGAUAUUAGGAAGAACACCAGUGGAGAAGGCGUCUUUGUGGACUGUAACUGACGGUGAGUCAAGAAAGCGUGGGGAGCACACAGGAUUAGAUACCCUGGUAGUCCACGCAGUAAACGAUGAUCACUAGCUGUGCGGAGUUGAACCUUUCCGAGCUGGAGUUAACACAAUAAGUGAUCCACAUGGGGAGUACGACCGCAAGGUUGAAACUCAAAGGAAUGGACCGGGGGCCCGCACAAGCACUGGAGUAUGUGGUUUAAUUAGAAGCAACGCGAAGAACCUUUCCAGGUCUUGACAUGGAUUGACGUACCUAGAGAUAGGUAUUCCCUUCGUGGCACGAAGACAGGUGGUGCAUUGUUGUCGUCAGCUCGUGUCGUGAGAUGUUGGGUCAAGUCCCGCAACGAGCGCAACCCUUAAUAUUAGUUCAUACGCAAGAGCACUCUAAUAGGACUGCCGUUGAUAAACCGGAGGAAGGUGGGGAUGACGUCAAAUCAUCAUGCCCUUUAUGACCUGGGCUACACACGUACUACAAUGGCGUUUAACAAAGAGAAGCAAAGCCGGGAGGCGGAGCAAAUUCCCAAAAACCGUCUCAGUUCAGAUUGCAGGCUGCAACUCGCCUGCAUGAAGUCGGAAUUGCUAGUAAUCGUAGGUCAGCAUACUACGGUGAAUACGUUCCCGGGCCUUGUACUCACCGCCCGUCA